This 458-nucleotide ribosomal RNA is filed under the name uncultured bacterium. RNAcentral's name for it is "partial 16S ribosomal RNA". It matches the Rfam family "Bacterial small subunit ribosomal RNA", at positions 29 to 523 of the family's 1533-position model. The record is from RNAcentral.
AACGAACGCUGGCGGCAGGCCUAACACAUGCAAGUCGAACGUGAAGCCACCUUCGGGUGGAGGAAAGUGGCAGACGGGUGAGUAACGCGUGGGAACGUGCCUUUCGGUUCGGGAUAACCCAGGGAAACUUGGGCUAAUACCGGAUACGCCCUCCGGGGGAAAGAUUCAUUGCCGAAAGAUCGGCCCGCGUCGGAUUAGCUAGUUGGUGGGGUAAAAGCCUACCAAGGCGACGAUCCGUAGCUGGUCUGAGAGGAUGACCAGCCACACUGGACUGAGACACGGCCCAGACUCCUACGGGAGGCAGCAGUGGGGAAUAUUGGACAAUGGGCGCAAGCCUGAUCCAGCCAUGCCGCGUGGGUGAAGAAGGCCCUAGGGUUGUAAACCCCUUUCAGCGGGGAAGAUAAUGACGGUACCCGCAGAAGAAGCCCCGGCUAACUCCGUGCCAGCCGCCGCGGUAA